Neofelis nebulosa (Clouded leopard) is the source of this 2908-nucleotide long non-coding RNA. RefSeq lists it as uncharacterized. Lineage: Eukaryota; Metazoa; Chordata; Mammalia; Carnivora; Felidae. The transcript has 5 exons. The record is from RefSeq and is a predicted model, not a curated record.
GCCGUGGACGCGCCCCGUGCGCGCCCCCGUGCGCGCGCGCGGCCGCCUGCGCCCCGCCCACCGCCCCCCGUAGCCCGGGCCGCCGCCGCGCCUUCCCCAAGCGCAGGCUUUGUGGGUCUUUGCGAAAACGCGCGUCCAGGAAGGCGGGGAGAGGCGGCCGAACUGAGUUCUGUUAGACGCAGUCAUCGGAGGGUUUGCAGUGCACUGAGAGCUCCUGACUGAGCGCUCUUUGAGAGCAUUGACCAUGACAUACAUCUGCUGGGGUGUCCUCAUGGCGAGGUCAGAAGCACGGCGCCGAAUCGUAGGCUCCAUCCGUGGCCGUCCAUCUUUGGUGUUAAUACUUUCUGGGACAGUUGUUUGCCACUCUGGGACCCCUUAUGUGACAGCUCCAUUUGAACCAGCAUGAAAUGUCCCUCCUCGGCUGCAUUCUAGAACCUGGAACCUCCCAAGUAAGACCUAAGCCUGCCUUCACCUGGUGGGGUUAUCUGCUUCCCUGCCUGGACUCCUGUCCAGACCAAGAACGGCACCUUCCUCAUAUGCCUUGGCUCCUGGCACCGAGUUCCUCCUGCCUGUGCUCUCAACAUUACACUAGUGUGGGGGAGCCCCAAGAGAAUUGGGUUCUCAACACCAAGCAUGGUUAUUUCUGGUGAAGUACAGACCACGCAAACCAUGUCUUUAUUUAUGCCACUGAGCCUGCAUUAGCUCCCUUACCAAACCUAGGAUCCGACUGGCUCCUCUUGAGCAACUGACCUCCCAACAGCCCCCGGUCACCUUCCCAUGGAUAGUGGCCAAGGAAGGCUUUUCUCAUUCUGCCGUCAUAACGGUGGCUUCUUUGUUCAGUAUAGCUGUGGGAAAUUUAUUUUCGUCUCUGUUUUUUUGCCAGGAGACUGGAUCAUAAUCUGACAAUAAAGAGAAAUUCCAACCUGAAGGAUUUUGACCACAGAGGAAAGAACUUCCUGAAAGUUCUCUUUCAGGAAGAAUGAUGGGAUGUCCCUGGGGCCAAGAAUCAAAAGUUGUGUUCUUGGCCUCAACCCUGUCUGGCUGCCAUGCUCCUUGUCAGUAGCAUGGAAUUUACCUCAGCGCGAUCUUGUAAGGAUUAUAGGAGGGGGAAAGGCUUUCUAGAGGAGAGAAAGCCUCCUCUCCUUAUAAUCUUGAAUGGACAGCUGAAGGAUACUGUACAGUUUUAGGAACUUUUCCCAUAAAACCACAUUGACUUUCAGAAAAUUAGCUCUCCUGUCACUAGCUAGUGGGAACCUCAGUUCACAAAUUCACUGGGGUGUAAGAAAUGCUAUGUUUUUAAUUUCCCCUAAAUCCAAUUCUGAAUCUCUGUUAGUUUCCUAGGCCUGACGUAAUGAAGUACCUCAAGCUGAGUGGCUUAUACAAUAGGAAUGUCUCACAGUUCUGGAGUUUGUGGUGUUCUCCCUGUGCCCCUGUUUCUGUGUCCACAUUUCCGUUCUUUUAAGGAUACAGUCAUAUUGGCUUAGGGCCCACCCUAGUGAUCUCAUUUUAACUUAUAACUUAAUUUUUUUUUCUAAGAGAACCGAUGAGCUGGGGAGAGGCACAGAGGGAGGGAGAGAGAUAAGCAGGCUCCCUGCUCAGUGCAGAGCCUGAUGGGGGGCUUGAUCCCACGACCUUGGGAUCAUGACCUGAGUUGAAAUCACGAGUUGGAUACUCAACCAACUUAGCCACCCAGGUCCACAGGGCCAGAGACUCCUUUGUCUUUCACCACCUGUGAGAUUUCCUGUCACUAAGGAGACUCGCCAGUGACGCCCACAGAGAAUGGUAGGUCCACAUGAGGCCGCCCGGCGGGGACGGGAUGGAAAGCAGAACCACGGGGACACUUGUGCAGAGACACACAACGGCUGCAGGAGACCAAAGAGCGCCUGAUAAGAGGGGCUCUUCUGCUGAGAGACGCCACCAUGCACUCAAAGAUCUCAAACCCAGAAAAUACUGACGACAGACGUUUCCUUCAGUGAUUCUCAGCUGGGUGAGCGCUGGAGUGCCAAGGGUUGAAGCAUGUCUUUCUUCCCCCGACUCUCAAGAUGCCUGGGCAGCCACUUGGGGUCAUCACCCUUUCUUAGAGCCCCCGGGUGCCUAGUGGGAGAGCCAUGCCUCUCGGGCGUGUUGGGACGGCAAAACGAUUGAGAACCAAGGCACAGGUGGAUGAUCUCGGCGACUUCCAAAAUGGACGGGUGUAUGGCUUUCCCAAGGCGCCAGGAGAAUUAGAAUCCCAGGAAACCUACCUGUGGGGGUACAAGUAUUCUGUGCCAAGGUCUCUGUUUGGCGUGAGUCUUCUGAAACAACCUGAGGCUAUUGCAUAUUCCAAGAUACUAAGUUUAAGGCUACUUAAAAAAAAUCUGUAGGUUGCCAGAGUUCUCAUUGUCCUGCAUGUAUUUUACAGAAUAUUUUAUCUCUUCUUAGUAACACCUUUUUGUACUAACGUCUAGGAAGAUAACUCCGAGGUGGUGUAAGCAGCGCUGCUCAGAUUUCCACGUGCGUGUGCAUCGCCCGAGGAUCCUGUUAAAAUGCAGAUUCUGAACCAGAAGGUGCAGGCAAGGGCCUGAGAUUUUGCAUUUUUAAGACGUUCCUGGGCAGGACUGGUUACAGAAUUUGCAGGGCCCUGUGCAAAAUAAAGAGGCAAGAGCCCUUGUUUAAAAAUUACGAAAAAAAAUUCAAGGUCGGGGUGCCUGGGUGGCUCAGGUGGUUAAGCGUCCACCUCUUGAUUUCAGCUCAGGUCGUGAUCUCACAGCGUGUGGGUUCGAGCCCCGCAUCAGGCUCUGGGCUAAGACUGCGGAACCUAUUUGGGAUUCUCCGUUUCCCUCUCUCUGCCCCUCCUGUUCUCUCUCUCUCUCGAAAGUAAAUAACAAAUAUUUAAAAAAUCUUUUCGAGGUGAAGGGAGAACAUUCAA